RNAcentral lists this ribosomal RNA (493 nucleotides) under uncultured bacterium. RNAcentral describes it as "partial 16S ribosomal RNA". It matches the Rfam family "Bacterial small subunit ribosomal RNA", at positions 29 to 507 of the family's 1533-position model. The record is from RNAcentral.
ACGAACGCUGGCGGCGUGCUUAACACAUGCAAGUCGAACGGUGAAGCGCCUUCCUUUUUGGUGGGUGUGGAUGAGUGGCGAACGGGUGAGUAACACGUGAGUAACCUGCCCCCUUCUUCUGGAUAACCGCAUGAAAGUGUGGCUAAUACGGGAUAUUCUGGGUCUGUCGCAUGAUGGGUCUGGGAAAGAUAUUGUUUCGGUGGGGGAUGGGCUCGCGGCCUAUCAGCUUGUUGGUGGGGUGAUGGCCUACCAAGGCGGUGACGGGUAGCCGGCCUGAGAGGGUGGACGGUCACACUGGGACUGAGACACGGCCCAGACUCCUACGGGAGGCAGCAGGGGGGAAUAUUGCACAAUGGGCGCAAGCCUGAUGCAGCGACGCCGCGUGAGGGAUGGAGGCCUUCGGGUUGUGAACCUCUUUCGCCAGUGAAGCAGGCCUGCCUCGUUUGUGGGUGGGUUGACGGUAGCUGGAUAAGAAGCGCCGGCUAACUACGUG